UUUUAGCCCCGAUAGAAGUGGAAAUCCUUUUUGUUUUUUUCUUUAAAAAACAAAAAGAUUGCAACGAAUUGCUUCGCCAAUU
This 82-nucleotide small RNA is filed under the name Flavobacterium frigidimaris. RNAcentral's name for it is "Flavo-1 RNA". It matches the Rfam family "Flavo-1 RNA". Lineage: Bacteria; Pseudomonadati; Bacteroidota; Flavobacteriia; Flavobacteriales; Flavobacteriaceae. The record is from RNAcentral.